Molecule: unclassified non-coding RNA, 377 nt
Filed under: Hevea brasiliensis (rubber tree)
Lineage: Eukaryota; Viridiplantae; Streptophyta; Magnoliopsida; Malpighiales; Euphorbiaceae
Source: RNAcentral
AAGCCAGUGCCUGGUGCGGACGUCAGUGGAGUGAGAGUGGUUACGAAGCGGCAGCCCAGGCAAUAUAUGAACCGAAGGGGAGGAUUCAAUCGGCCAUUGCCUCCAGAACGGAAUCGCUAGCUAUUUUCUUAGUCUGGCAAGAUGGAAGUAUCUUUAAGCAUAGGUGAUAUGUUGGUAACUUGAAUGGUUGAAUCACAUCAAUGGACCCAAAUGAAAGACCUUGUAAGCUGGAGUCUCCUGCAUUAUCUUGAGAUAAGGUCUUUGUAUUAAUAUUGUGUUUAAAAUUUUACUCUAGCUCUUCAAGAAGUAAUCGGAGUGCUUGCAUUUAGAUUAUAUGGCUUUUGGUUUAGAUGACCCCUACCAGAUGUAUCCUAUGA